UUGUUCGCCAAACAACUACGAGUAGUAACUUAAAACUUAAAAGACUUGACGGUACUUCACCACCAACCUAGAGGAGCCUGUCUAAUAACCGAUAAUCCACGCUUAACCCAACCUUAUCUAGCCAACAGUCUAUAUACCACCGCCGUAAGCUUACCUUGUAAAAGGAAUAAAGUAAGCCAAAUAGUAGGACACUAAAACGACAGGUCGAGGUGUAACUUAUGAUAGGGCUCAGAUGGGCUACAUUCUCUUACCAGAGAACACGAAUAGGCUUAUGAAUAUAAACCUUAAAGGAGGAUUUAGCAGUAAGAUAAGAAUAAAAUACCUAUCUGAACACAACGCAAUGAAGUGCGUACACACCGCCCGUCACCCCUGUAUUAU
This 378-nucleotide ribosomal RNA is filed under the name Proatheris superciliaris. RNAcentral's name for it is "partial 12S ribosomal RNA". Lineage: Eukaryota; Metazoa; Chordata; Lepidosauria; Squamata; Viperidae. The record is from RNAcentral.